Molecule: ribosomal RNA, 469 nt
Filed under: uncultured bacterium
Lineage: Bacteria
Description: partial 16S ribosomal RNA
Rfam family: Bacterial small subunit ribosomal RNA
Source: RNAcentral
GACGAACGCUGGCGGCGUGCUUAACACAUGCAAGUCGAACGAUGAAGCCUUAGCUUGCUUUGGUGGAUUAGUGGCGAACGGGUGAGUAACACGUGAGCAACGUGCCCAGGACUCUGGAAUAACCGCGGGAAACCGUGGCUAAUACCGGAUAGGUGCCGAGGCCGCAUGGUCUUCGGUUGGAAAGUUUUUGCGGUUCUGGAUCGGCUCACGGCCUAUCAGCUUGUUGGUGGGGUAAUGACCUACCAAGGCGACGACGGGUAGCCGGCCGGAGAGGGUGACCGGCCACGCAAGGAAUAAAACACGGCACAGACUGCUACGGGAGGCAGCAGUGGAGAAUAUUGCGUAAUGGGGGCAAGCAUGAUGCAGUAGCGCCGCGAGGGGGAUGACGGCGUUCGGAUUGUAGGCCGCCUUUAGUAGGGAAGGAGCGCAAGUGACGUUACCUGCAGAAAGAGUACCGGCUAACUACGUG